RNAcentral lists this ribosomal RNA (771 nucleotides) under bacterium W13C1b. Its description in RNAcentral is "bacterial SSU rRNA". It matches the Rfam family "Bacterial small subunit ribosomal RNA", at positions 78 to 860 of the family's 1533-position model. The record is from RNAcentral.
GCUUGCACCACCUGAUUAGUGGCGAACGGGUGAGUAACACGUGAGUAACCUGCCCUUCACUUCGGGAUAACCUCGGGAAAUCGUGGCUAAUACCGGAUAUGAGCUCCUUCCGCAUGGCGGGGGUUGGAAAGAUUUAUCGGUGAAGGAUGGACUCGCGGCCUAUCAGUUUGUUGGUGAGGUAAUGGCUCACCAAGGCGAUGACGGGUAGCCGGCCUGAGAGGGCGACCGGCCACACUGGGACUGAGACACGGCCCAGACUCCUACGGGAGGCAGCAGUGGGGAAUAUUGCACAAUGGGCGAAAGCCUGAUGCAGCGACGCCGCGUGGGGGAUGACGGCCUUCGGGUUGUAAACCCCUUUCAGUAGGGAAGAAGCGAAAGUGACGGUACCUGCAGAAGAAGCGCCGGCUAACUACGUGCCAGCAGCCGCGGUAAUACGUAGGGCGCAAGCGUUGUCCGGAAUUAUUGGGCGUAAAGAGCUCGUAGGUGGCUUGUCGCGUCUGCCGUGAAAACCCGAGGCUCAACCUCGGGCGUGCGGUGGGUACGGGCAGGCUAGAGUGUGGUAGGGGAGACUGGAACUCCUGGUGUAGCGGUGAAAUGCGCAGAUAUCAGGAAGAACACCGAUGGCGAAGGCAGGUCUCUGGGCCAUUACUGACACUGAGGAGCGAAAGCAUGGGUAGCGAACAGGAUUAGAUACCCUGGUAGUCCAUGCCGUAAACGUUGGGCACUAGAUGUGGGGGACAUUCCACGUUUUCCGCGUCGUAGCUAACGCAU